AUCCGCCGCCGGCGUGGACUCCGAGGUACGAGCGGGAGCCGCCAUUUUCCCGGAAGAACGGGUCUUCUUCGAACCGAAUCGAGCUUUAUUGAAACACCGGAAACAAACACGGGCAAGGAGAAGGGGGGCGCCGGGAGGAGAGGGAAGGGGCGGAAGUUCCCGCGGUUUGGGGGAGGCGGUGGGGUCCCGCCGCGUUUGGGCUCGCGUUUACGCCGGUUGUGUUUUCUCCGUUCGUCCGCUCUUCACGUUUAUUCAAAAAAGUGUUGGCUAGCGCCGCUGUGACCCCGACAAAUAUCCACGAGUCCUGCCGUUAUGGAGUUUACCGAGGGGUGGAGGGAGACAGACAUUAAUCCGGAGGGGAAGGGUUCCCACAGGCCAGCUCUUUGCUCCCCUCCCGCACCCUGAGUCUCCCCCUGAGCCCCAGCAUGGAGCCCGGAGCCUAGUGAGGCAGCUCAGAGAAGCACAGAUUGGGAAAUGGAGGCUCCAGCAAAGACUGAUCGCAUCGUGCUGCUCGCGAGGACUAGAUCCAAGGUGGACCGGAAGUUCACGUGUUCUUCUAAGACACUAAGUGAACACAGGAAAGUUCUUUGAAAAAGAAACUCCUUUGUUUCUAAAGGAAGAAUGUGGCGUUCUAGCUCAGCAGCUCCUGCUCUGAAUGGGCGGCGACACGGAGCUCCGGCUCUGGUACGAACUCAGGAACUCACUCAUGUUCUGUAAAGAAGGUCGGUGGAUCCCUUCAGCGGGAAUGGGACACGGUAGAUGGGGAGAGAGUGCAUUCCAGAUUCCCUAGCAGCUCGUGAGCCGGGACAGAGGGAUGGGCUCCAGAUUUAUCACCUAAUGCUCAGGAUGGGAGAAUGUUGCUGGCUUACUGCCUGAGGUACAACAUUUACACACACUCAAGUACACACAGCUUCCCCAGCAAUGUCUGGAUUCCCCCAUUCUUAAGAAAGACAAAGGCAGAAGAGGCUUGCCCAUCAGCAAGCUCCAGAAAUCCCGCCGCCUUGUCUCUUCUCAGUGGAGAGUUUAAUAAUUUCACAUGAUUCUGAGCUGACUACCUAUAGUUAGGGGGCGUGAAAGGAAGACAAGGUGAGUAAAUACGCCUUACCGAUACACUGAACACAGUGCGUAGGGGACAAGGAGCCACAAAUCCUUUGUUCUGUUUCAGAGGAACUGUGUGUGUGCACACCAGACCCCCCCACCGAAAGCAG
Long non-coding RNA from Mustela lutreola (European mink), 1208 nucleotides. RefSeq lists it as uncharacterized. The record is from RefSeq and is a predicted model, not a curated record. The transcript has 4 exons. NCBI's taxonomy places the organism in Eukaryota, Metazoa, Chordata, Mammalia, Carnivora, Mustelidae.